This 473-nucleotide ribosomal RNA is filed under the name uncultured bacterium. RNAcentral's name for it is "bacterial SSU rRNA". It matches the Rfam family "Bacterial small subunit ribosomal RNA", at positions 28 to 507 of the family's 1533-position model. The record is from RNAcentral.
GGCUAACGCUGGCGGCGUGUCUUAGCCAUGCAAGUCGAGCGGACUUAUGGGGUAACUUAUAAGUCAGCGGCGGACGGCGGAGUAACACGUAGCUAACCUACCCUCUGGACGGGGAUAACCUACCGAAAGGUGGGCUAAUACCCGAUGUAGUCAUCCUGUAUAGGGGUGAUGAAAGGUGGGCUUCUGUUUACAAGCUCAUGCUGGAGGAGGGGGCUGCGGCCUAUCAGGUAGUUGGUAGGGUAAUAGCCUACCAAGCCGAUGACGGGUAGCCGGCCUGAGAGGGUGACCGGCCCGAGGGGCACUGAGAUACGGGUCCCACUCCUACGGGAGGCAGCAGGCUAGAAAUUUGGGCAAUGGGGGAAACCCUGACCCAGUGACGCCGCGUGGAGGAAGAAGUCCUUCGGGGCGUAAACUCCUGGACUGGGGGACGAGGAAGGACGGUACCCCAGUAGAAAGGGACGGCUAACUACGUG